GAUGAACGCUGGCGGCGUGCCUAAUACAUGCCAGUCGAGCGAACAGACGAGGAGCUUGCUCCUUUGACGUUAGCGACGGACGGGUGAGUAACACGUGGGUAACCUACCUAUAAGACUGGGAUAACUUCGGGAAACCGGAGCUAAUACCGGAUAAUAUUUCGAACCGCAUGGUUCGAUAGUGAAAGAUGGCUUUGCUAUCACUUAUAGAUGGACCUGCGCCGUAUUAGCUAGUUGGUAAGGUAACGGCUUACCAAGGCAACGAUACGUAGCCGACCUGAGAGGGUGAUCGGCCACACUGGAACUGAGACACGGUCCAGACUCCUACGGGAGGCAGCAGUAGGGAAUCUUCCGCAAUGGGCGAAAGCCUGACGGAGCAACGCCGCGUGAGUGAUGAAGGUCUUCGGAUCGUAAAACUCUGUUAUUAGGGAAGAACAAACGUGUAAGUAACUGUGCACGUCUUGACGGUACCUAAUCAGAAAGCCACGGCUAACUACGUG
Molecule: ribosomal RNA, 497 nt
Filed under: uncultured bacterium
Lineage: Bacteria
Description: partial 16S ribosomal RNA
Rfam family: Bacterial small subunit ribosomal RNA
Source: RNAcentral